GACGAACGCUGGCGGCGUGCUUAACACAUGCAAGUCGAGCGGUAAGGCCCUUCGGGGUACGACGAGCGGCGAACGGGUGAGUAACACGUGGGUGACCUGCCUCUAGCUCUGGGAUAAGCCUGGGAAACUGGGGUCUAAUACCGGAUAUGACUCCACGGCGCAUGUUGUGGGGUGGAAAGCCUUGUGUGGCUAGAGAUGGGCCCGCGGCCUAUCAGCUUGUUGGUGGGGUGAUGGCCUACCAAGGCGACGACGGUAGCCGGCCUGAGAGGGCGACCGGCCACACUGGGACUGAGACACGGCCCAGACUCCUACGGGAGGCAGCAGUGGGGAAUCUUGCGCAAUGGGCGAAAGCCUGACGCAGCGACGCCGCGUGAGGGAUGACGGCCU
RNAcentral lists this ribosomal RNA (387 nucleotides) under uncultured bacterium. RNAcentral describes it as "bacterial SSU rRNA". It matches the Rfam family "Bacterial small subunit ribosomal RNA", at positions 28 to 417 of the family's 1533-position model. The record is from RNAcentral.